GACAGAGGGUGCAAACGUUGUUCGGAUUUACUGGGCGUAAAGCGCGUGUAGGCGGCUUGCAAGUCGGAUGUGAAAGCCCACGGCUCAACCGUGGAAGUGCAUCCGAAACUGCAUGGCUGGAGUCUCGGAGAGGAAGGUGGAAUGCUUGGUGUAGAGGUGAAAUUCGUAGAUAUCAAGCAGAACACCUGCGGCGAAGGCGGCCUUCUGGACGAUGACUGACGCUGAGACGCGAAAGCGUGGGGAGCAAACAGG
Molecule: ribosomal RNA, 252 nt
Filed under: uncultured bacterium
Lineage: Bacteria
Description: partial 16S ribosomal RNA
Rfam family: Bacterial small subunit ribosomal RNA
Source: RNAcentral